AUUGAACGCUGGCGGCAUGCCUUACACAUGCAAGUCGAACGGUAACGGGCCUUCGGGUGCCGACGAGUGGCGAACGGGUGAGUAACACAUCGGAACGUGCCCGAUCGUGGGGGAUAACGAGGCGAAAGCUUUGCUAAUACCGCAUACGAUCUACGGAUGAAAGCAGGGGACCGCAAGGCCUUGCGCGGACGGAGCGGCCGAUGGCAGAUUAGGUAGUUGGUGGGAUAAAAGCUUACCAAGCCGACGAUCUGUAGCUGGUCUGAGAGGAUGAUCAGCCACACUGGGACUGAGACACGGCCCAGACUCCUACGGGAGGCAGCAGUGGGGAAUUUUGGACAAUGGGCGCAAGCCUGAUCCAGCCAUGCCGCGUGCAGGAUGAAGGCCUUCGGGUUGUAAACUGCUUUUGUACGGAACGAAAAGCCUUCUUUUAAUACAGGAGGGUCAUGACGGUACCGUAAGAAUAAGCACCGGCUAACUACGUG
This 482-nucleotide ribosomal RNA is filed under the name uncultured bacterium. RNAcentral's name for it is "partial 16S ribosomal RNA". It matches the Rfam family "Bacterial small subunit ribosomal RNA", at positions 30 to 507 of the family's 1533-position model. The record is from RNAcentral.